UGGAAGUGAUCUUAUGUAAUCUGCUCAAUGGAGGAUGGAGGAGUAACAUGGACUGACAUACAGCCAUAUAUCAGAUGCCUCUCAAAGCAAAGGGACAGUAGUAAAAAAUCACUAGAGAAAUCAAGCCAAACGCAUCCUAGGGAAAGAAAAGAAAUCUACCUUCAUAAGCAAACAGUCAAACCACCCACCUUGUCUGAAAAAAAGACUGGAAAAUCCCUUCAAACAAGUUCUAAUCCCUGACUGACAGAUGAUAUUGGGUUCCUUUCCCUCAAGUACAGAUUAGAUCUGUUCGAGCUGGGCACGUCUUCAAAAAAAUACUUUUACAUCUCAUUUCUUUCAUCACUCUCUUCUCACUUUUCUCAAGCAAGACUUCACCUGUGAUGUUUGUAUUUUGCUCCCUUCUCAUCGAACGAGGGAAAGGCUGUUUUCUGUUCUUUGCAAGGAAGCCUCUCCCUUCUGCAAAUACUGUAAGCACCAACACCUCUGCAAUGAGAGCCCUUCUGAGGUGACAGAAGCUGCUAUUGGCACUAAACAAUCCACCUGCUUGUAGGGAAAGUAGAAUCUCCCCCCCACACACACACACACAAUACAAAGUUCUCUCUAAGUGGACAUGUUCUAUAGUAGGUGUUGGAAACGUGAAAAGAAUCUGGCUUGAUUUUGUUGCAUUUCUCUCAGUCCUGUCUGCACUCCUCCUGCCAGUUCUUUUGUGGAAGAUAUUAGUUUGCAAGAUAUUGUGAGGGAUGGAUUUUUAUAGGGGAAUUCCUGCAUAUUUGUGUACAUUUUACUAAUGGGCACAUGCAGUAUUUAUGUAUGUUGCCCAAUUUAUAAAUUUUUCUUAUUGACUAAAAAUGACUCCAUUUUUCAGUUGUGUAGAUUUUAGGUAUUCACGUUUAAAAAUGCAUGCAGACACACAUAUAUUUAAUUUCUUCAAAAAGCUCUGUAUGCCUCUCAGAUGUGUGAACUGUCAAGGCAAGAUAAAGUUCUUUCCACAACAGGUCUGAAGUGUAAAAAUAAUG
Molecule: long non-coding RNA, 1016 nt
Filed under: Pogona vitticeps (central bearded dragon)
Lineage: Eukaryota; Metazoa; Chordata; Lepidosauria; Squamata; Agamidae
Description: lncRNA (ENSPVIG00000013028.1)
Source: RNAcentral